GCUGGGCGCGGUGGUGCAUGCCUGUAAUCCCAGCGGCUCAGGAGGCUGAGACAGGAGGAUUGUGAGUUCAAAGUCAGCCUCAGCAAAAGGGAGGCACUAAGCAACUCAGUGAGACCCUGUCUCUA
RNAcentral lists this small RNA (125 nucleotides) under Marmota monax (woodchuck). Lineage: Eukaryota; Metazoa; Chordata; Mammalia; Rodentia; Sciuridae. The record is from RNAcentral.